UUGACUAGCUGAGAGGAGGUGCAUGGCCGUCGUCAGUUCGUACUGUGAAGCAUCCUGUUAAGUCAGGCAACGAGCGAGACCCACGCCAACAGUUGCCAGCUCGUCCUCCGGGAUGGUGGGGACGACUGUUGGGACCGCCUCUGCUAAAGAGGAGGAAGGAAUGGGCAACGGUAGGUCAGCAUGCCCCGAAUUAUCUGGGCUACACGCGGGCUACAAUGGGUGGGACAAUGGGUAUCGACACCGAAAGGUGAAGGCAAUUUCCUAAACCCAUCCGUAGUUCGGAUUGUGGGCUGCAACUCGCCCACAUGAAGCUGGAAUCUGUAGUAAUCGUGUCUCAAAAUGGCACGGUGAAUAUGUCCCUGCUCCUU
Molecule: ribosomal RNA, 368 nt
Filed under: uncultured Methanomicrobiales archaeon
Lineage: Archaea; Methanobacteriati; Methanobacteriota; Methanomicrobia; Methanomicrobiales
Description: bacterial SSU rRNA
Rfam family: Archaeal small subunit ribosomal RNA
Source: RNAcentral